UUUAAAUUGCUGUGGUAUUUUGACUAUACAAAGGUAUUGAAAUAAGACUUUAAUUGAGUGCUAAGAGAAUGGACUUUCAAAAAAAUGCUUUCUUAAUUUUAAAAAUUGAAAUUAUUUUUUUUUGUGAAGAAACAACAAUAAAAAUUAAAGACAAGAAGACCCUAAGAAUUUUUAUAAAUUUAUUAUAUUAAUAUACAAUACAUUUAUUUAAUUGGGGCGAUUUGAAAAUAUUUAAAACUUUUUAAAAACUAAUAAGAUCCAUUAAUAAUGAUUUUAUGAAAAAAAUACUCUAGGGAUAACAGCGUAAUAAUUUUAGAUAGAUCUUAUAGAAAAAAUAGUUUGCGACCUCGAUGUUGGAUUAGGAUUCUUAUUUAAUGAAGAAGUUAAAAAAAGAAGUUUGUUCAACUUUUAAAUUCCUACUUGAUUGA
This 428-nucleotide ribosomal RNA is filed under the name Haemaphysalis sulcata. RNAcentral describes it as "partial small subunit ribosomal RNA". Lineage: Eukaryota; Metazoa; Arthropoda; Arachnida; Ixodida; Ixodidae. The record is from RNAcentral.